AAAGCACUCUUCGGCCCCAAAUCUGCCUCCAGUGAAGUGGGAAAAGUGAAGACUCACAGUGAGUUGAAGGAUGGAAAAAAGGAGUUUCACUGGCCAGAGCUUUGAAGUAAUCCUUGCUCACAUAGAAGGCAAUAGCAUGAGUUUAGGCAGUAGGUGGAAAAAUAUCUGACUGGAUCCUACCAGAAUGCCCUGGCAAUUCAGCAGAUUUGCUGGAAGGACAAUUUGGGAAGUCUUGGGGAAAUAUGCUUCUGCAAGUCCUGCAUUGUCUCUAUGGGGUUUCAAAAAGGAGUUUCCUCAUAUGCCUAACCAGCUUCAAGAUGGUAUUGUUGCCUUUAUCAUAAACUUUGAGGGUCAGCAAGGCAUUAUUAUCCAGAUUGAGCUCUCCUUGCAGGAACACCAGAUACAAGCCAUCACAUUCAACCUGGAUUCUGCCAUUUGUGACAUUCCAGUCGCCACUCCACCUAUUUCAUCGUCAUUUCUGCUGAGGAAUGGAAGGUCCUGGCAUGUGCCCUCUGUUCAGCACAUUCCCCGCUAUCUUGCUUCCCUAAAGCUGAAGUUGUUCUCCUGCCAACUGCCGUAA
Molecule: long non-coding RNA, 580 nt
Filed under: Crocodylus porosus (Australian saltwater crocodile)
Lineage: Eukaryota; Metazoa; Chordata; Crocodylia; Crocodylidae
Description: lncRNA (ENSCPRG00005003950.1)
Source: RNAcentral